CCUACGGGGGGCAGCAGUGAGGAAUAUUGGUCAAUGGACGAGAGUCUGAACCAGCCAAGUAGCGUGAGGGAUGACUGCCCUAUGGGUUGUAAACUUCUUUUAUAUGGGAAUAAAGUGUUCCACGUGUGGGAUUUUGUAUGUACCAUAUGAAUAAGGAUCGGCUAACUCCGUGCCAGCAGCCGCGGUAAUACGGAGGAUCCGAGCGUUAUCCGGAUUUAUUGGGUUUAAAGGGUGCGUAGGGGGAUUGUUAAGUCAGUUGUGAAAGUUUGCGGCUCAACCGUAAAAUUGCAGUUGAAACUGGCAGUCUUGAGUACGUGAGAGGUAGGCGGAAUUCGUGGUGUAGCGGUGAAAUGCUUAGAUAUCACGAAGAACUCCGAUUGCGAAGGCAGCUUACUGGACUGCAACUGACGCUGAGGCUCGAAAGUGUGGGUAUCAAACAGGAUUAGAUACCCGUGUAGUC
This 460-nucleotide ribosomal RNA is filed under the name uncultured bacterium. RNAcentral's name for it is "partial 16S ribosomal RNA". It matches the Rfam family "Bacterial small subunit ribosomal RNA", at positions 338 to 795 of the family's 1533-position model. The record is from RNAcentral.